This 409-nucleotide ribosomal RNA is filed under the name bacterium. RNAcentral describes it as "partial 16S ribosomal RNA". It matches the Rfam family "Bacterial small subunit ribosomal RNA", at positions 355 to 776 of the family's 1533-position model. The record is from RNAcentral.
UGGGGAAUAUUGCACAAUGGGCGAAAGCCUGAUGCAGCGACGCCGCGUGAGGGAUGACGGCCUUCGGGUUGUAAACCUCUUUCAGCAGGGACGAAGCGCAAGUGACGGUACCUGCAGAAGAAGCACCGGCUAACUACGUGCCAGCAGCCGCGGUAAUACGUAGGGUGCAAGCGUUGUCCGGAAUUACUGGGCGUAAAGAGUUCGUAGGCGGUUUGUCGCGUCGGUUGUGAAAACCAGCAGCUCAACUGCUGGCUUGCAGGCGAUACGGGCAGACUUGAGUACUGCAGGGGAGACUGGAAUUCCUGGUGUAGCGGUGAAAUGCGCAGAUAUCAGGAGGAACGCCGGUGGCGAAGGCAGGUCUCUGGGCAGUAACUGACGCUGAGGAACGAAAGCGUGGGUAGCGAACAGG